GCGUUUGUGGUUUAGUGGUAAAAUCGUUGCUUGCCAAGAUUACUUCAUGUGAUAACUUGUUCACUUGCAAUGGCCCCGGGUUCGAUUCCCGGCGAACGCA
Molecule: transfer RNA, 100 nt
Organism: Sclerotinia borealis F-4128
Lineage: Eukaryota; Fungi; Ascomycota; Leotiomycetes; Helotiales; Sclerotiniaceae
Rfam family: tRNA
About the family: Transfer RNA (tRNA) molecules are approximately 80 nucleotides in length.
Source: Rfam